This 460-nucleotide ribosomal RNA is filed under the name uncultured bacterium. Its description in RNAcentral is "partial 16S ribosomal RNA". It matches the Rfam family "Bacterial small subunit ribosomal RNA", at positions 338 to 795 of the family's 1533-position model. The record is from RNAcentral.
CCUACGGGGGGCAGCAGUGAGGAAUAUUGGUCAAUGGACGAGAGUCUGAACCAGCCAAGUAGCGUGAAGGAUGACUGCCCUAUGGGUUGUAAACUUCUUUUAUAUGGGAAUAAAAUGUUCCACGUGUGGGAUUUUGUAUGUACCAUAUGAAUAAGGAUCGGCUAACUCCGUGCCAGCAGCCGCGGUAAUAAGGAGGAUCCGAGCGUUAUCCGGAUUUAUUGGGGUUAAAGGGAGCGUAGGUGGAUUGUUAAGUCAGUUGUGAAAGUUUGCGGCUCAACCGUAAAAUUGCCGUUGAAACGGGCAGUCUUGAGUACAGUAGAGGUGGGCGGAAUUCGUGGUGUAGCGGUGAAAUGCUUAGAUAUCACGAAGAACUCCGAUUGCGAAGGCAGUUCACUGGACUGCAACUGACACUGAGGCUCGAAAGUGUGGGUAUCAAACAGGAUUAGAUACCCGUGUAGUC